This is a non-coding RNA of Dermochelys coriacea (leatherback sea turtle), 688 nucleotides long. The record is from the annotation of a RefSeq genome assembly. NCBI's taxonomy places the organism in Eukaryota, Metazoa, Chordata, Testudines, Dermochelyidae.
CAUAUUUCUCAUAGAUGCAGGUCCAAGCAAAACCUGUAAAAUGUUGCUGCUCCACAUUGUUAUUCUGGCUUUGGUUUUGUCUUACGGAUGUGCACAAAUACAUCUGAGACAAGCUCCAUUGUCCAUUAUCAGGGCAGAAAAUAAAACUGCACAUAUAGUCAGUGAGGCUUCUGGCAUUCAGAACAUCGGGAGUGGUUUUAUACACUGGUAUCGACAGAGACCUGGAGAAGUGCCAGAGCAGAUACUCUACUUUAAGACACUAGCUGAUAAAUCAAGUAUUGACAAGAACAAGUUUAGGGUUGGCAAGACAACUGAAAAGUCCACCUAUACCUUAACAGUAGAGAAACUAACCUACAAUGACAUGGCUGCCUAUUACUGUGCCUACUGGGAUCUCACAGUGUUAGAAAGCCAUAGACAUGCUGUGCAAAAACCUCACUCUGUAUUCGGAGCCACAGACUUUCAAAAGUGCACGCUAAAGGUUUUUGAUUCACUCACAAUACUAGAGAGCCAUCUGCUGGAUCCCCUCCUCUGCCAGCCUCUUGGAGAUGCUCUCGCACAGAUGCUGGUUUCAGGUGCACCUCUCAAAAUCACGUUCUUUGCCGUGUUCACACCAGAGACCAACAAGAACCCUGAUGCUUUGACGAGCGAGGACAUGCCAGGACAGCAUCUUCUCAAGCUAUUCAACUGA